CUGAGUAACACGUGGGCAACCUGCCCUUUGCACUGGGAUAGCCUCGGGAAACCGAGGUUAAUACCGGAUACUCCAUAUUUGUCGCAUGGCGAAUAUGGGAAAAGCUCCGGCGGCAAAGGAUGGGCCCGCGGCCUGUUAGCUAGUUGGUGGGGUAGUGGCCUACCAAGGCAAUGAUGGGUAGCCGGGUUGAGAGACCGACCGGCCAGAUUGGGACUGAGACACGGCCCAGACUCCUACGGGAGGCAGCAGCU
RNAcentral lists this ribosomal RNA (251 nucleotides) under uncultured Atopobium sp. RNAcentral describes it as "partial 16S ribosomal RNA". It matches the Rfam family "Bacterial small subunit ribosomal RNA", at positions 106 to 355 of the family's 1533-position model. Lineage: Bacteria; Bacillati; Actinomycetota; Coriobacteriia; Coriobacteriales; Atopobiaceae. The record is from RNAcentral.